GCCAGCGGCGAUAGCACGUUGAAUGGGCCAGUUCUCAAUGGAUCACUUAGGUUAAGCAACAUUGUGCGUGGUUAGUAUCCGAAUGGGUGACCAUUUGGCCAAUCGUGUGCUGCUGUUU
Molecule: ribosomal RNA, 118 nt
Filed under: Diaphorina citri (Asian citrus psyllid)
Lineage: Eukaryota; Metazoa; Arthropoda; Insecta; Hemiptera; Psyllidae
Source: RNAcentral